GGACUACAGGGGUUUCUAAUCCCGUUUGCUCCCCUGGCUUUCGCGCCUCAGCGUCAGAAAAGGUCCAGCACGUCGCUUUCGCCACCGGCGUUCCUUCCGAUAUCUACGCAUUUCACCGCUCCACCGGAAGUUCCACAUGCCCCUACCUCCCUCAAGACGGCCAGUAUCGGAAGCUAUUUUCCAGUUGAGCUGAAAGAUUUCACCCCCGACUUGACCACCCGCCUACGCGCCCUUUAAGCCCAGUGAAUCCGAACAACGUUUGCACGGUUCGUCUUACCGCGGCGGCUGGCAC
This 292-nucleotide ribosomal RNA is filed under the name uncultured bacterium. RNAcentral describes it as "partial 16S ribosomal RNA". RNAcentral also lists the same sequence under 2 other names. The record is from RNAcentral.